AGCAGCCGCGGUAAUUCCAGCUCCAAUAGCGUAUAUUAAAGUUGUUGCAGUUAAAAAGCUCGUAGUUGAAUUUCGGGAUUGACGUGACGGUCAUGCCUUAAGGGGUAUGAACUGUUACAGUUGAUUUCUCACCUUCUGGAGAAACUUGAUGUCCUUUAUUGGGUGUCUUGCGGAUCCAGGACCUUUACCUUGAAAAAUUAGAGUGUUUAAAGCAGGCAUUUUUGCUCGAUACAUUAGCAUGGAAUAAUAGAAUAGGACGGCAUGGUUCUAUUUUGUUGGUUUCUAGGAUCACCGUAAUGAUUAAUAGGGAUAGUUGGGGGCAUUAGUAUUCAAUUGUCAGAGGUGAAAUUCUUGGAUUUAUUGAAGACUAACUACUGCGAAAGCAUUUGCCAAGGAUGUUUUCAU
Molecule: ribosomal RNA, 405 nt
Filed under: uncultured Glomeromycotina
Lineage: Eukaryota; Fungi; Glomeromycota
Description: SSU rRNA
Rfam family: Eukaryotic small subunit ribosomal RNA
Source: RNAcentral